AUUUUAUCAGUCUGUUCAAAUAAGGUGACAUUAAAAUUCUGGGAUUUUGCUGAUAUAUGUCUAACAACUAUUAAUCCAGCAACUCCAGCUCCAAUGACGGCAACUGUUAUUUUACCACUCGGCAUUUUUUGUUUGACGUUUAAGAGAAAAUAAGUAACGAUAAGAAAUAAAUAAAUAGAGAUUAGACAAUCAAUGAAUUGUAUAAAACUAUUACUAUUACUACUACAAUGUUAUGAAAAAGAAAUGAAAAAAUGUUUUCGGAUUUGUUAUGACUUCAAUAAUGAUUGAAUCUAAACUGGAGAGAUAUUGGCAAUGGAUCGCAUUAAACAACUUUCUCCCACCAAUAAAAUCUUACGUUCUUUUGAAAAAUAUGGGUGAUUUACACAUGUAUGAGUUACAUAAAUAAAGUGAAACAUGUAUGGUUAGAGCUUUAAACAACUACAUUAAUCUGGUUCUUUACGAUAAAAAAAAAGUAAUUGCAAUCACGUGAAAAUUAGACGGUUUGGUAG
Chelonus insularis is the source of this 509-nucleotide long non-coding RNA. RefSeq lists it as uncharacterized. The record is from RefSeq and is a predicted model, not a curated record. Lineage: Eukaryota; Metazoa; Arthropoda; Insecta; Hymenoptera; Braconidae. The transcript is spliced from 3 exons.